Molecule: ribosomal RNA, 265 nt
Filed under: Enterobacter hormaechei
Lineage: Bacteria; Pseudomonadati; Pseudomonadota; Gammaproteobacteria; Enterobacterales; Enterobacteriaceae
Description: partial 23S ribosomal RNA
Rfam family: Bacterial large subunit ribosomal RNA
Source: RNAcentral
GUAAUAGCUCACUGGUCGAGUCGGCCUGCGCGGAAGAUGUAACGGGGCUAAACCAUGCACCGAAGCUGCGGCAGCGACGCUUAGGCGUUGUUGGGUAGGGGAGCGUUCUGUAAGCCGUUGAAGGUGUGCUGUGAGGCAUGCUGGAGGUAUCAGAAGUGCGAAUGCUGACAUAAGUAACGAUAAAGCGGGUGAAAAGCCCGCUCGCCGGAAGACCAAGGGUUCCUGUCCAACGUUAAUCGGGGCAGGGUGAGUCGACCCCUAAGGC